RNAcentral lists this ribosomal RNA (587 nucleotides) under uncultured bacterium. RNAcentral's name for it is "bacterial SSU rRNA". It matches the Rfam family "Bacterial small subunit ribosomal RNA", at positions 102 to 685 of the family's 1533-position model. The record is from RNAcentral.
ACGGGUGAGUAAUAUAUCGGAACGUACCCAGAAGUGGGGGAUAACGUAGCGAAAGUUACGCUAAUACCGCAUACGAUCUACGGAUGAAAGUGGGGGAUCGCAAGACCUCAUGCUUUUGGAGCGGCCGAUAUCUGAUUAGCUAGUUGGUGAGGUAAAGGCUCACCAAGGCGACGAUCAGUAGCUGGUCUGAGAGGACGACCAGCCACACUGGGACUGAGACACGGCCCAGACUCCUACGGGAGGCAGCAGUGGGGAAUUUUGGACAAUGGGCGCAAGCCUGAUCCAGCAAUGCCGCGUGAGUGAAGAAGGCCUUCGGGUUGUAAGGCUCUUUUGUCAGGGAAGAAACGGCCUCAGCUAAUAUCUGGGGCUAAUGACGGUACCUGAAGAAUAAGCACCGGCUAACUACGUGCCAGCAGCCGCGGUAAUACGUAGGGUGCAAGCGUUAAUCGGACUUACUGGGCGUAAAGCGUGCGCAGGCGGUUUUGUAAGUCUGUCGUGAAAGCCCCGGGCUUAACCUGGGAAUUGCGAUGGAGACUGCAAGGCUUGAAUCUGGCAGAGGGGGGUAGAAUUCCACGUGUAGCAGUGAA